ACUCAAAGGAAUUGACGGGGGCCCGCACAAGCAGCGGAGCGUGUGGUUUAAUUCGACGCAACGCGCACCACCUCACCUAGGUUUGACAUGUAGCUGCAAGCUGCUGAAAGGCAGCCGCCUUCGAGGGUGCUACACAGGUGCUGCAUGGCUGUCGUCAGCUCGUGUCGUGAGAUGUUGGGUUAAGUCCCGCAACGAGCGCAACCCUUACCGCGUGUUACUUGUGUCACGUGGGACUGCCGGUGUUUUGCACCGGAGGAAGGCGGGGAUGACGUCAAGUCCGCAUGGCCCUUACGCCUAGGGCGACACACACGCUACAAUGGGACGCGAAAUACGUUGCGACCGCGCGAGCGGAAGCCAAUCGAGAAGGCGUCUCGUAGUGCAGAUUGGAGGCUGCAACUCGCCUCCAUGAAGACGGAGUUGCUAGUAACCGCGUAGCAGCGUGGCGCGGUGAAUACGUACCCGGGCCUUGUACACACCGCCCGU
RNAcentral lists this ribosomal RNA (483 nucleotides) under uncultured bacterium. RNAcentral's name for it is "partial 16S ribosomal RNA". It matches the Rfam family "Bacterial small subunit ribosomal RNA", at positions 899 to 1397 of the family's 1533-position model. The record is from RNAcentral.